Molecule: ribosomal RNA, 305 nt
Filed under: uncultured bacterium
Lineage: Bacteria
Description: bacterial SSU rRNA
Rfam family: Bacterial small subunit ribosomal RNA
Source: RNAcentral
UACCUACGGGGGGCAGCAGUGGGGGAUAUUGCACAAUGGGGGAAACCCUGAUGCAGCGACGCCGCGUGGGUGAAGAAGCGCCUCGGCGCGUAAAGCCCUGUCAGCAGGGAAGAAAAUGACGGUACCUGAAGAAGCCCCGGCUAACUACGUGCCAGCAGCCGCGGUAAUACGUAGGGGGCAAGCGUUAUCCGGAUUUACUGGGUGUAAAGGGGGCGCAGACGGCGAUGCAAGCCAGGAGUGAAAGCCCGGGGCCCAACCCCGGGACUGCUCUUGGAACUGCGUGGCUAGAGUGCAGGAGGGGCAGG